This 253-nucleotide ribosomal RNA is filed under the name uncultured bacterium. Its description in RNAcentral is "partial 16S ribosomal RNA". It matches the Rfam family "Bacterial small subunit ribosomal RNA", at positions 524 to 776 of the family's 1533-position model. The record is from RNAcentral.
UACGUAGGGGGCAAGCGUUGUCCGGAUUUAUUGGGCGUAAAGAGCGUGUAGGCGGCCAAGCAGGUCCGCUGUGAAAACUCGAGGCUCAACCUCGAGACGUCGGUGGAAACCGUUUGGCUAGAGUCCGGAAGAGGAGAGUGGAAUUCCCGGUGUAGCGGUGAAAUGCGCAGAUAUCGGGAAGAACACCCGUGGCGAAGGCGGCUCUCUGGGACGUUACUGACACUAAGGCGCGAAAGCGUGGGGAGCGAACAGG